This 2097-nucleotide unclassified non-coding RNA is filed under the name Leishmania donovani. Its description in RNAcentral is "gene:LdHU3.14.1960(CDS-product:glutathione-S-tran sferase/glutaredoxin_putative)". The record is from RNAcentral. Lineage: Eukaryota; Euglenozoa; Kinetoplastea; Trypanosomatida; Trypanosomatidae.
ACAAACACGGAGAAGUAUUUGACCCACUAUACAAAUAUCAUCUCUCGGGUGGCCGAGCGAAAAGAAACGUGAGCGCAUAGUCUCUUCCUGUGGCCGUGUGCCUUCCACCCAACCCACACUCCUUUGUUUUUCGUGUCUCCUCACACGGUGCCUGUCGCCCUGUUCUCUCCCCAGCUCGACAUCAUGUUCGGCAGAGGGACAUUUUCCCGAAAAGUCCUCGUCGGCACGACGGUGGCGGGUUUUGUGGGGGUCGGUGGUGGGUACGCAAUGUACCAGCGGCGCAUGCGCGACAACCGCAGCGUGACCGCCGAAGCCUUCAAUGCAAUGCAGGACGCCACCAAGCUAGACGAAGCCUUCAAGAAGCUCUGCGACCACAAAGAGCACCCCCUCAUUCAGUUUUACCGGUACACCACCUGUCCGUGGUGUGGCACCGUCAAGGCAUUUCUGGACUACAACAAGAUCCCGCACGAGUGCGUAGAGGUGGAGCCAAUGUUUAAGACGGAGUUGGCGGAGAGCCUGUACAAGAAGGUGCCGCAGCUGCGGUUCGAGUCGAAGGCAGGCGACAGGUCGUACCUGGUCGACUCGCGAAUCAUUGUGGACACGCUUAGCGAGAAGAUGGGUCUUGGUGGCCAGCUAAAGGAUGAGGAUGUGGACAAGUGGCGCACGUGGGCCCGCAGUUCUCUCGUCCGCUUUGUCACUCUCGAGUUCAACCGCUCCCUCCCCGCGGCGUGGGCCGGCUAUUCCUACAUCGACAGCUGCGACACAAUCCCCUACGCCAACAAGCUCUUUCUCAAGGUGAUUGGAGCGCCUGUAAUGUACCUGGUUGCCAUGAUGGUCACCAAGCCGCGCCUUGUGAAGGCCGGCCUCAUGAAACCCGACGACGACCCGAAGCAGCGCCUACACGACGAGGUCAACCGGUUCACCGCUGAGGCACUCGUCGACCCCAAGUCCAAGAAGCCGCGAACCUUCCACGGCGGCAGAAAGCCGGACCUGGUCGACCUCGACACAUAUGGCGUUCUUCAGUCGGUUCGUAACCACCGCAUUUACAACGAGAUGGUCACUGAGACACAGAUCGGCCCAUGGCUGGAGGCAAUGGACAGACUCAUGGGAAAGGCCUAGCGCGCUUGGUGGCGACAGCAUUUCCCGUAGUCGCUCAGCUGCGUACCCAUCAAGUGUGUGCUGACUCGGCUCCGACGCCACACACCGGCUCAGCGACACACCGAAACUGUUUCACGCUAGGCUGCUCAUUUUUGUUUUCGAUGUUCUUGCUGAGUAUUGGCAGUGUAGUGGUGUGAGACGGCUUCCGCCUCUGCAUGUCGCCUUCUUUCCCCCACGACGCACCACGGAUGAUACAACACAGCUGUCAUCCAGCAGCCGCGCCCCUCCUGCCGCCCUCCGCAAUGCGGGACUUCUCCCGUUGUUUGUUUAGCACGAUGUGGUGUGCCAUCAGGAGAAGCGCCUCCUCUCGUCUUGUCCGUCAACACGAGAAAGGGUGAAGAGACGGGGUGGCAGGGGUCUUUUUUGGCGACGGCCAUAAGUAGGCACACAGUUGCCCGUGCAUGUCUUCGAGUUCUCUUUGUUCAUUUCUAACACGUGCUCACAUGAUAAUGAAACGAAGGGCCGACCAGGGACGUUUGACCAUGUCUGCACGCGUGUGCCUCUGGGCCAGACGAACUUGUGUCUUGUCGUUUCUCUGUCUUUCUACUCACAGGCGGUCAGCAUUAAUGUCCAGCAUCAUCGGAACAACAAGGCCUUGUGCAAGACAGCGCACAGCAGCCGUGGGAAGCGCUCUUCUCUGCUUCCAACCAAAAAAAGUGAACGGCUGCCUGAUGAAAAGGGUGCUUGUGCGGACCCGGUAUGGACGUAUGACCAUGGCCCCACCUUGAAGGCCAUGAUAAUCCGCGUCACUGCGUGUCAGGCAAUCUCUUCCGCGCUGCGAGGGCACACCCGUGUUUCCACGAUGCUGCCGCGACGACUUCACCACACUUCCGUACAUGCCCUCCUGCCACCCCCUUCUCGACUGCCGCCUGGCCCUUUCGUUGUCUCUUGGCUGCCUGCCUCGCCGCAAUUCUCGCCCUUCCGUCACGGCCACCGUUG